CACCUUCAUAAAUGACUUGGAUGCAGGACUGGAAGGGAUAGUAUGGUCUAUCCUAUUCAUAAAGAGAAAACUUUCCAGGGGCUGCCCUGAGCAUUGAUGAGCUUCCAUCCCACCUAAGGUAAUAGUAAUGUUACGCCCAGGGACAUGAGGAUUGAACUUGUGAGAGUGACAUAGAGUUUGAGAAUGAUGCUCUGAGACAAAAAGAAUGAAGACUAUCUAUUUACACAUGUCAAGUGGGUAAACUAUGGAGAAACAUUUUGUCCAGUUCCUUGUCUGAAGACCAAAGCAUCUGUAUACAGAAGGUUUUUUCCAGUUAUGCAU
Corapipo altera (White-ruffed manakin) is the source of this 321-nucleotide long non-coding RNA. RefSeq lists it as uncharacterized. NCBI's taxonomy places the organism in Eukaryota, Metazoa, Chordata, Aves, Passeriformes, Pipridae. The transcript is spliced from 3 exons. The record is from RefSeq and is a predicted model, not a curated record.